Molecule: ribosomal RNA, 314 nt
Filed under: Aphytis chrysomphali
Lineage: Eukaryota; Metazoa; Arthropoda; Insecta; Hymenoptera; Aphelinidae
Description: eukaryotic LSU rRNA
Rfam family: Eukaryotic large subunit ribosomal RNA
Source: RNAcentral
CCAAGGAGUCUAACAUGUACGCGAGUCAUUGGGACUUGUAUAAGCCUAAAGGCGCAAUGAAAGUGAAGGUCUUCCUUAGCGUUGGCCGAGGGAGGAUGGUCGGUCCUACGUAGGCCGGCUCGCACUCCCGGGGCGUCUCGUGCUCAUUGCGAGCAGAGGCGCACCUAGAGCGUACACGUUGGGACCCGAAAGAUGGUGAACUAUGCCUGGUCAGGACGAAGUCAGGGGAAACCCUGAUGGAGGUCCGUAGCGAUUCUGACGUGCAAAUCGAUCGUCGGAACUGGGUAUAGGGGCGAAAGACUAAUCGAACCAUC